GUUUUUGUAGUUGAAUAACAACAGCGGUUUUUCAGGUCGCAGGUUUUGGUUAAAACCCAAAUGAAAAUA
Molecule: transfer RNA, 69 nt
Filed under: Holbrookia lacerata
Lineage: Eukaryota; Metazoa; Chordata; Lepidosauria; Squamata; Phrynosomatidae
Also listed under: 2 other names
Description: tRNA-Glu
Rfam family: tRNA
About the family: Transfer RNA (tRNA) molecules are approximately 80 nucleotides in length. Their secondary structure includes four short double-helical elements and three loops (D, anti-codon, and T loops).
Source: RNAcentral